GGGAGCGUAGCUCAGUGGUUAGAGCGGGGGACUCAUAAUCCCUUGGUCGCGGGUUCGAAUCCUGCCGCUCCCA
Molecule: transfer RNA, 73 nt
Filed under: Planctomycetota bacterium
Lineage: Bacteria; Pseudomonadati; Planctomycetota
Also listed under: 1 other name
Description: tRNA-Ile
Rfam family: tRNA
About the family: Transfer RNA (tRNA) molecules are approximately 80 nucleotides in length. Their secondary structure includes four short double-helical elements and three loops (D, anti-codon, and T loops).
Source: RNAcentral